GACGAACGCUGGCGGCGUGCUUAACACAUGCAAGUCGAACGGAAAGGCCCUGCUUUGGUGGGGUGCUCGAAUGGCGAAAUGGUGAGUAACACGUGAGUAACCUGCCCUUGACUUUGUGAUAACUUCAGGAAACUGGGGCUAAUAACGGAUAGGAGCUCCUGCUGCAUGGUGGGGGUUGGAAAGUUUCGGCGGUUGGGGAUGGACUCGCGGCUUAUCAGCUUGUUGGUGGGGUAGUGGCUUACCAAGGCUUUGACGGGUAGCCGGCCUGAGAGGGUGACCGGCCACAUUGGGACUGAGAUACGGCCCAGACUCCUCCGGGAGGCAGAGGUGGGGAAAAUUGCACAAUGGGCGGAAGCCUGAGACAGCAACGCCGCGUGCGAGAUAACGGCCUUCUGGUAGUAAACCGCUUUCGCCUGUGACGAAGCGUGAGUGACGGUAAUGUAUAAAGAAGCACCGGCUAACUACGUG
This 468-nucleotide ribosomal RNA is filed under the name uncultured bacterium. RNAcentral's name for it is "partial 16S ribosomal RNA". It matches the Rfam family "Bacterial small subunit ribosomal RNA", at positions 28 to 507 of the family's 1533-position model. The record is from RNAcentral.